This 402-nucleotide ribosomal RNA is filed under the name uncultured bacterium. RNAcentral's name for it is "bacterial SSU rRNA". It matches the Rfam family "Bacterial small subunit ribosomal RNA", at positions 355 to 774 of the family's 1533-position model. The record is from RNAcentral.
UGGGGAAUCUUGCACAAUGGGGGCAACCCUGAUGCAGCGACGCCGCGUGAGCGAUGAAGCCCUUCGGGGCGUAAAGCUCUUUCGACCGGAACGAUAAUGACGGUACCGGGAGAAGAAGCUGCGGCUAACUACGUGCCAGCAGCCGCGGUAAUACGUAGGCAGCAAGCGUUGUUCGGAGUUACUGGGCGUAAAGAGUGCGUAGGCGGCUUUCUAAGUUCGGUGUGAAAUCUCCCGGCCUAACUGGGAGGGUGCGCCGAAGACUGGGAAGCUGGAGUGUGGGAAAGGCAGGCGGAAUUCCUGGUGUAGCGGUGAAAUGCGUAGAUAUCAGGAGGAACACCGGCGGUGUAGACGGCUUGCUAGACCAUAACUGACGCUGAGGCACGAAAGCGUGGGUAGCAAACA